Molecule: ribosomal RNA, 134 nt
Filed under: Mesocricetus auratus (golden hamster)
Lineage: Eukaryota; Metazoa; Chordata; Mammalia; Rodentia; Cricetidae
Source: RNAcentral
GUCUACGGCCAUACCACCCUGAACGCGCCCGAUCUCAUCUGAUCUCGGAAACUUAAAGUAUAAACUGUGUGAGAACAAGAGUCAAGAACUUGUUGAAAGUUGAAAAUGCCCAUGGAAUAGGUAAGCUGUAAUCA